This 236-nucleotide ribosomal RNA is filed under the name uncultured Latescibacterota bacterium. RNAcentral describes it as "uncultured Latescibacteria bacterium partial 16S ribosomal RNA". It matches the Rfam family "Bacterial small subunit ribosomal RNA", at positions 1150 to 1382 of the family's 1533-position model. The record is from RNAcentral. Lineage: Bacteria; Pseudomonadati; Candidatus Latescibacterota.
UGCCGGUGAUAAACCGGAGGGAAGGCGGGGAUGACGUCAAGUCCUCAUGGCCCUUACAUCCCGGGCGUACACACGUGCUACAAUGGCAGGUACAGAGGGCGUGCGAAGCCGCGAGGUGGAGCGAAUCCCAGAAAACCUGUCUCAGUCCGGAUUGAAGUCUGCAACUCGACUUCAUGAAGGCGGAAUCGCUAGUAACCGCGAAUCAGCAGGUCGCGGUGAAUACGUUCCCGGGCCUU